Long non-coding RNA from Argiope bruennichi, 590 nucleotides. RefSeq lists it as uncharacterized. The transcript has 3 exons. Lineage: Eukaryota; Metazoa; Arthropoda; Arachnida; Araneae; Araneidae. The record is from RefSeq and is a predicted model, not a curated record.
CGGUCAUUGUUAUUGGGUUGGUCGGGAUAAACAUCAGCUCUGCUGCAAACUGUUUGAUAAGCAAAUUGUUUCGGCUUUUAUCAAUCGAAUUCUUGAGUCCUCCACUCGCGCUCUAAAUAUAAAAGAACUCCUGGGCGCAAGGAGUCUUGAUGAUGCCCAUUUAUUGACCCAGAGAUAAAGUUAUGAAAUCUGUGGUGGUUAUAUGUUUUCUUCUACUAGUAGUCGGCGUCCAGUGCAGGCCCUGGCUCUUUCCCUGGUGGAUGCUGCCGUAUUACUCGGGUAUCGAGGACGAGUAUGCUGCGUCAUUAGGGGGAGCUCCGGUUGGCCUCUACAGCAGACGGAAAGGAGGAGGGUUCUUUGGCGAGAGAUCUGAAAUAUCCGGUGUUUCUCUGGGUGGUGCAAAAGUUGGACUCUAUGGAAGAGAGCGACCCUCUUUUCUUAGGAGAUGGCCUCUCCUGGGAUGAUAAAAAAAUGGAAAACUGAAGUUCAUCGUGUAAGAAGCUCAUCGGAGAAGAUGACAGAGCUGAAGAAAACAGCGAAUUUGUAAAUUGAAACAUUUCAUCGAGUUUGUAAUAAAUUUUGAAAUGAAA